CCUACGGGUGGCAGCAGUGAGGAAUAUUGGUCAAUGGGCGCAAGCCUGAACCAGCCAAGUCGCGUGAGGGAUGAAGGUUCUAUGGAUCGUAAACCUCUUUUAUACGGGGAUAAAGUGUGGGACGUGUCCUAUUUUGUAUGUACCUUAUGAAUAAGGAUCGGCUAACUCCGUGCCAGCAGCCGCGGUAAUACGGAGGAUCCGAGCGUUAUCCGGAUUUAUUGGGUUUAAAGGGUGCGUAGGCGGCCUUAUAAGUCAGCGGUGAAAGUCUGUGGCUCAACCUUAGAAUUGCCGUUGAAACUGGGGGGCUUGAGUGUAGUUGAGGCAGGCGGAAUGUGUGGUGUAGCGGUGAAAUGCUUAGAUAUCACGCAGAACCCCGAUUGCGAAGGCAGCCUGCCAAGCCAUGACUGACGCUGAGGCACGAAAGCGUGGGGAGCAAACAGGAUUAGAUACCCCUGUAGUC
Molecule: ribosomal RNA, 460 nt
Filed under: uncultured bacterium
Lineage: Bacteria
Description: partial 16S ribosomal RNA
Rfam family: Bacterial small subunit ribosomal RNA
Source: RNAcentral